This 485-nucleotide ribosomal RNA is filed under the name uncultured bacterium. Its description in RNAcentral is "partial 16S ribosomal RNA". It matches the Rfam family "Bacterial small subunit ribosomal RNA", at positions 28 to 523 of the family's 1533-position model. The record is from RNAcentral.
GACGAACGCUGGCGGCGUGCUUAACACAUGCAAGUCGAACGAUGUCCAUGCAGUAGCAAUACUGCGGAAGACCUAGUGGCGAACGGGUGAGUAUCACGUGAGAAACCAACCCCGGUCUUUGGGAUAACAGUUGGAAACGACUGCUAAUACCGAAUGCCGUCGUUGCCUCGCAUGGGGCGAUGACGAAAGGGCUACCGGAUCGGGACGGUCUCGCGGCCUAUCAGCCUGUUGGGGAGGUAACGGCUCACCAAGGCUUCGACGGGUAGCUGGUCUGGGAGGAGGAGCAGCCACACUGGGACUGAGACACGGCCCAGACUCCUACGGGGGGCAGCAGUGGGGAAUCUUGCGCAAUGGGAGAAAGCCUGACGCAGCAACGCAGCGUGCGGGAUGAAGGCCUUCGGGUUGUAAACCGCUUUUACCAGGAACGAAAAUGACGGUACCUGGAGAAUAAGGUGCGGCCAACUACGUGCCAGCCGACGCAGUAA